This 429-nucleotide ribosomal RNA is filed under the name Gemmatimonadota bacterium. RNAcentral's name for it is "Gemmatimonadetes bacterium partial 16S ribosomal RNA". It matches the Rfam family "Bacterial small subunit ribosomal RNA", at positions 355 to 776 of the family's 1533-position model. Lineage: Bacteria; Pseudomonadati; Gemmatimonadota. The record is from RNAcentral.
UAGGGAAUCUUCGGCAAUGGACGAAAGUCUGACCGAGCAACGCCGCGUGAGUGAAGAAGGUUUUCGGAUCGUAAAACUCUGUUGUUAGAGAAGAACAAGGACGUUAGUAACUGAACGUCCCCUGACGGUAUCUAACCAGAAAGCCACGGCUAACUACGUGCCAGCAGCCGCGGUAAUACGUAGGUGGCAAGCGUUGUCCGGAUUUAUUGGGCGUAAAGCGAGCGCAGGCGGUUUCUUAAGUCUGAUGUGAAAGCCCCCGGCUCAACCGGGGAGGGUCAUUGGAAACUGGGAGACUGGAGUGCAGAAGAGGAGAGUGGAAUUCCAUGUGUAGCGGUGAAAUGCGUAGAUAUAUGGGGGAACACCAGUGGCGAAGGCGGCUCUCUGGUCUGUAACUGACGCUGAGGCUCGAAAGCGUGGGGAGCAAACAGG